CUGGGUGGCUCAGACAGUUAAGCGGCUGCCUUUGGCUCAGGUCAUGAUCCCAGGGUCCUGGGAUCGAGCCCCGCAUUGGGGAGCCUGCUGAGCCAGGGAGCCUGCUUCUCCCUCUCCCUCUGCCUGCUGCUUCCCCUGCUUGUACACUCUCUCUCUCUGUCAAAAAUAAAAAUAAAAUCUUAAAAAAAAAAAAAAAAAAGAAGACUCAGGCUGUGAAAACGGAGUCAUCUGGUUUUAUUUUCCAGUCCGUGGUGAGGAUUAUGUAAGGCUGUGAGGUAGAAGUCACAUGUGGGCUAGGCCAAGGCCAAGUGACAGCAAGGGAUUCCUCAGCAAAGCAAAUUGCAGCCUUACAAAGAAGAGUACCUUCUCCUCUGCCUCGGGCAUGUUUUCAGGCUGUCCUGCCUGGCAAUGAGAUUUUAUUUAUUUAUUUGAGAGAGAGAAUGAGAGACAGAGAGCACGAGAGGGAAGAGGAUCAGAGGGAGAAGCAGACCCCCCGCCGAGCAGGGAGCCCGAUGCGGGACUCGAUCCAGGGACUCCAGGAUCAUGACCUGAGCCGAAGGCAGUCGCUUAACCAACUGAGCCACCCAGGCGCCCCUGCAUGCUGUUGAUUACAGGCAUGUCCCGAGCCUGCCAGCGUCACAAGCGAGGACACAGACGGCAGGCACAUGACAGUCGCGAUGGAAAAUGCACAAUGAUGCACUCAUCUAUUUCACCGCAGUGACCACAGAGAGAAAGAGAGUGCACAACAGGGGAAGCUGCAGAGGGAGAAGGAGAAGCAGGCUCCCCACUGAGCAGGGAGCCUGAUGUGGGGCUCUAUCGAAGGACCCUGGGAUCAUGACCUGAGCCGAAGGCAGACGCUUAACCCACUGAACCGCCUAGGCACCCCGACCAGAAUCAUUUCUACACAUAUAUUUAUAAUUUUUUUUCUGUCAAAUCUCUGAGCCAGAUUUAGCAGCUUUUUAUGAGAAUAUUGGUCAUCAAUUUUGUUAUGAAAGCAGAAUUGGUCAAAGAUCAUUAUUAAUAAUUAUGGAAAAUGUAUCCUCCCAGAGCUCAGAGCUCCUUAGAGAGAUGAGAUGACCUCACUUCUUCCAAAGGCCACACAAAUUAGUCCAGAAAGGUAUAUUGUCUGUUAAGUGUUUAAUCCUCUAGAACAGAUUUCCAUCAUCUCUGAAAUCCUGUGGUUACCCACAAACCUCAUGCUAAAGAAGUUCCUCCUCACAUCUAACCUAAAUGUCCCUUUAGCUAUUUUAUGAAGUCACAAAGCACUCUCUCUUGCAUCUAUAGCCUGAAAUAAAUUUGGCUGUGAUAAUAAAGUUCAAAGGGAAAUUAAAUACUUCCUCUCUUCCACCCAUUCUGACUAUUGAUUGUUUGUUAAAAAAUUCUCGCUACUUCUUUAGACUACUGCCUACCUACAUUCCCAAACCAGCUUUCAGAGGAUUGAUGCCAACUAGGUAGAAGAGAUGGCAUUAUUCAUCAAAUUCUCAAUCCAGCUUAUCUAGAGCCCUAUGCCUAAUUCACCCAUAAUCAUUCAUUUAUGAUCGCUACAUCAUGAUCACUUACUGAAGUCACUGGUCCUAAUUUGACAUGAAUGGAGGGCGUGUUAGGGCACAGGAGAUAAUUUGAUGAGAAAGAAUGAGCGAAGUCUAAUCAUGCAGGAGCUUGAAGGUCAAGUUGAGAUCGGAUGUGGAAGCAAACGAGCAAACAAGAAAAAUGUAGCUUGGACCAAUGUAUUCAGAGUGAAACUGCUGGGAAUUGUGAUUUUUGAACUUGUGUUCAGGCUGAUCCUGCUUUGCAACCAUAAAGUAGAUAAUAAAUAUGAACAUCUCUAAUUGCAAGUGGCUGAAAAACCCAGGGCCUUUACUGUAGGAAGAGUAAAAGUCACAGGGCUGCCCUUUACUCAGUUUCAGUCUGUUCACAUCCAAAGCACUCACUCUGCAUCUUACCUUUCUG
Mirounga angustirostris (Northern elephant seal) is the source of this 1950-nucleotide long non-coding RNA. RefSeq lists it as uncharacterized. The transcript has 3 exons. NCBI's taxonomy places the organism in Eukaryota, Metazoa, Chordata, Mammalia, Carnivora, Phocidae. The record is from RefSeq and is a predicted model, not a curated record.